RNAcentral lists this long non-coding RNA (5462 nucleotides) under Salmo salar (Atlantic salmon). RNAcentral describes it as "lncRNA (ENSSSAG00000092685.1)". The record is from RNAcentral. Lineage: Eukaryota; Metazoa; Chordata; Actinopteri; Salmoniformes; Salmonidae.
CACAAGUACUGUAUCACGUCCUGAUUCCUCCACCCUUGCUCUCUCUCUAUCAUCUCUCUCUUUCUUUCUCUCUCUCUCUCUCUCUCUGUGUCUCUUUCUCUCUCACUACUGUCUGUGGAUGUAGUUUACCAGCUUCUCUGUGUCACCAUGGUGACGGUGCCAGGUGUACCGACGACCCUUGUGUUAACAGGAUUGUGUAUCGCUCUUCUCAUCACAGGAUCAUCUGGGACCUUCUGUACCACCAGUGUGGCUUCCCUGGAUUUAGGAUGCCUCCUGCGGUGGGAUUGUCCUCAGGCCAACGCUAACACCACCACCUACACUGUCCAAACUAAGACUCAGGGCUGUGAAACCAAGCCCGUCGCGCUUUCUGCCUGCUCCUCUCAACUGGUUUCAGUCAUAACCACCACCACCCAACUAGUCCAACAACCAGGGGGAUGUGUGUUAUCUUCUAUGGAGAUCCAUGGCAGGACGUGGAGGGGUGUGUGCGGAUCUCCGCCCAGCACUGUGACGUGUCCCAGGCCUUCUCUGAUUUUGAACUCUACAACAUGAUCCGCCUGGGCCUCCACCAGGGCCCUGGGAGCCCAGUCUGGACAAAACCACGCAAGUUUGACCCAAGUGAUUUCAGUCAGUAACCAACCUCUCUGCUCUCAAGACCAAUCACAUAUCUAAAAUGCUGCCUUCAACCGCCCCUCCGUCUCUGUGACUCUGUCUAGAGAGAGGCUGGUAGUGGAGGUGCACUUCCCCUGUUCUACCAACAGAGGGUGCUUUCCUCUGCAGAGCUGCUGUCCACUGUCAGAACUGAUUGACCCCUGGGUCACAGUGACCGUAUAUAACCAACAGAACCACUCUGACUACAAGAGGCGUACUGGUUGGGCCCAGGAGGUGGUGUACAGGGCUGAGUUCUCAGACCUGGUCUCAGGACAGGACUACUGUGCCUUGGCUAACUUCUCCUUUGGACCCCCCACCUUCCCCCUGGCCUCCUCUCCCCCCUCCCACCCACACUGUGUCCACCAGGCUGCCCCAGGACCAGGGUUGCAGCCAGUGUUGUUGGGGAUAGGAGUGUGUGCUGUGCUCUUCUCUGCUCUCCUUGCUCUGUACCGGCUGAAACAGAAACGAGAUGCACCUCGCAUUAACAGACUCCCCAAGACUCUAGCAUCUCUCCAGGCAUCCCUCCAGGACCCCCCAGAGUCCUCUUCAGACCCGGUUGACCCCAGUGACAUCCAUGUGGAGGUUGUGGACGACCACCUCUCCAUCAUGUCUUCCUUGUCCGGCUGUGUCUUCACCAACGCCCAGGCCCCAAGCUUGGGGGACGGAUACAGCAACAAACCCUUCCCCGGUGACUACAGGUCGGGCAACAUGGACUGGCACACUUGGGGAGACACUAAGCUGGGCCUGAACUCUGGCAGCACCCUAUCCCUGCCAUGCUCCACUGUGCCUAUAGGGCUACAUAUGACCCAGUGCAACUUCGAUUCACCACUACGACCACAUCCAGAGCCCACGGUGCCAACACUACCCUACCUUGAUUCUCUUUCUCUGUCAGAGGCUGGGGAGGGCCAGGGGGUCCCGCUGUGCUCAGUGAGGUUUGGGGGUGCGAGUGAAGGGGGUGAGAACCUGGAGGGACUACAGUGGUGUAACCGGUAGCAUGUUGAACUGCAGUACCCAUAAUGCUCUGUACAACAUAUUCUGAUGAACUCCACAGUGCAGUUGAGUCCAAGGUUUUGGCAAACAGGGCAUCGAUUUUGGAGGAGAUGAGAUGGGACAGAACUGGACCCAAUGAAGAGUAAUAGUGGUCCUAUGUAGCUCAGUUGUUAAAAAGCAAUGACACUAUCAAACGGCAGGGUUGUGGAUUAGAUUCUCGCCAGAAUCACAUACUAAAAAUGUAUGCACUCACUGUAGUGUAGGUCGCUAUGGAUACAAGUUGAACGUCUGCUGAGUGGCAUUGGUAACCUGGUUCUGCCGUAUAUAGCAGUCGAAGAAGACAUGGCUGGGAACUGAAGCGCCAAGCUCAGUUUGAACAACAACACUGACAACCACAGCUUUGUUUUACACCGUUUGUUUAGUAGGGUUCACAAUAUCGAUGACUUCUGUCAUCCGCAGAGCCGGGGGGAUGACAGAUUGAUGGACAAAUCAAUAGGGCCCCUGUUGGUGCGAGCAGAGCCUCUGAUUCACAGGUCCAGCUGGGUCUUUGGGAGGGUUUGUUUGAGGGGUGCUGAAGGUAGUGUUUCAAGUUCCAAAACUUUAUUGUCCAUGUUUGUUUAAAAUGGGAAUAUAUUUGUUUCAGGAGACCCCCCAGCCCCCCACCCUUAACUGGACUGUGGUAUGGAUAAUGGCGAUUUUAGCAUGUAAAUCUUGGUGGGGCAAAAUAAAGAUGUGGGAUGCAUGCCAGCAAAGCCCCAACACUAAACAAUACAUUAAUUGCACUAUAAUGGUGACAAACGGUGCCCACAAUCUGUUAGGGCCUACAUAAAGCUGUCCCUACAGUAGAGUCCCAACAGCAGAGUCCCAACAGCAGUCCCAACACCUUACCACUGCUACACCUGGCUAUCAGCGGAGCCUUGUCUGGCAGCGAAACAGUUCAUUCAGCCUCAUUUACUGCCUUUUUAAAAAAACAUAGCUGAUAUGGCUGAAUUGAGAUGUAUGAACUAUGGCAUAAGGGAAAGACAAGAGGAUAAGAGGCAAUCAGUAAUUUCGAUUAAGACAUUAUUGAGCGAGCUAGGAUGGACAUAGUCAAUGCAACUAUUUGUUCAGCACUUUUGAAAUGUACAGCAACAGAAUUCAGAACAUGGGCCGUUCUUCCUGUACACCAAGUCAGAACUAUAUGAUAAAUAAAGGGGGCAUAUAAGCAUACAAUGACAGCUCUUACAAUAUUCAAUGAUUACAUUUCUCAAAAACAGGUUAUAGGCUACAUGUGCACCACCAAAAAAUGAAAAGAUGUAAAUAGACCAAAUCAUUAGGGUGAGGCACAUGGGCUACUAACAGCUUACUACACAACAUACACAUAGCUACAGUAUACAUAUCUCCCUGGCACAUUACAUCACUUAUGCAGCAGCAUACAAUACAUUUUUGGACUCACCUUGUUGUGCUGUGCUCACUUGAACAGGAAGGUGGCGUGGCAGUCCUAUGUGGGCAAAUGUUGUCAUCAAAGUCUGACAUUCUGGGAACUCAGGAAAAAAAAAGGUUGAAUCAUGAUGGCGUCAGUAAUCUUCAGGUUGUAGCUCUAGAUAGAAGCCCGAGUUCAAAAUGUACAAUUCCGAAUUGAAUGAAAGUUCAAAACGUAUUUUCCCAGUCGUAGCUCGUUUCCCCCCCCCCGAGUACCCAGUUGUCUUGAACUCACUAAAGUCAGAUUUUGCAGUUCCGAGUUAACAGUUGCUUUGAUCAAGGCACAAAUCAUGCUUCAUUGACAGCAUGGCCAAUGUUGAUUGUUUAUAAUUUUAAACUAGGAAAAUAGACCCCUAAUCUUAGACUUGGGACCACACAGCCACUCCCCUGAAUAGCAGGCUAAUGAUUGCUUUGCGAUGCUUGCAGUUAGCCACUGAUUCCUUCCAAACCACAUAAUGUUUAUGUCCAAUGGCCGAUGAGCAACAAUACAUUUUAUCUAUAAUUUAUCUUCAUUAUUUCUCUUCAUAUGACAAGGAUUAAAAAGGAUUUGCCAGUAGUUUGUCGACUUGAUUCAUGAUGAUGACUGCUAGCUAAGAUUUUGAAAGUACUAUGUUGACAUGAUCAGUCCAAUCAAAGCUACUGUAGAUAUGUGAUUUGAUGUCAUUUCUGUGGCCAAUGACCUUGAGCCUUCUUGGAUGGUCACUUCUAAUGUAACUCUAUGGCAGCACCCAAGGGGCUUGAAUAUUUUCUGCUGAUAGCCCCACCACCACAAAAAGCACUGAGCUAGGCUGAAACACCUGCAUUUUGGCCCUGCCUUACUCAAGAAAACAAAAAGAGGCCAUGUUUGUAUGCGGCUUUAUUAACUCAAUGAUGUAUUUUUUACAUUGUUUUCAAACUGAUAUGUCACACGUAUUAAUACCAAAAUAACAUGCAAAAUAUAAUGUUUUGGGGCAAAAAAUGUGGGGCUCAAAACAGGUGGGGUCUCCAGUAUGUAUGGACAAAACUGGACUAUCAUAAACAUAUACCAUGGGGGGUUUAUUAUUCUGACCCCCCCCCCCCCUUUAUUUCCUCUACCUACUGUACUGUGUGAAGUCUCUACCUCAAUGUUUCUCUUGUUUUCUCUGUGUGAUAACAGGAGGUUGUUUCCCCCCCUCUGGCUCUCUCUCUCUGCCUUGCUUCUGACUCACUGUUGCCCCAUCCUACCUCUGGCCUGACCCGCUGUCUUUUACCCGUGUCUGACACCUCAUUCCUGGGGGGUUACACAUCUCUUUUGCUGGUGGUGCACUUUUUCUGGAACAUUAGGAAACCCAGGGGGGUGAGAGAAAGAGUGAGAGGAGAGAGACGGAGGAGAGGCAUGGAAGAUGGUGGAGUGAAAACAGUGGCCCCAUUCAAAUCCUCCUCAGUUCUGGAACACUCAUAUUCAUAAUAAUAGAACUGUGUCGGGGGGAUUUUGAUUGAUGUCAGGCUAAUGUUGGACCGUCAGUGAAUCCAAACUAAGCAGUGUGUGUCUGCCUGCCAAUCACAUAGCUGUAACGUUAUUCCACAGGCGUCCAACAGAGAAUUCCCAUCUAACCUUGAACUGAGGUUUUUGGAUGAGCUUUUUAUGGGCCCUGCUAUAUUUGCAGUCAAUUUAGUGGAAAGUUGAUCCAAGAUGGACGCCUUGUAGCUCGGCUCCCCACUGGUGUGUGCUGGCUUGCUCUGCAACUGAGGUGGUGAAGUUGGAUUAGGGAUUUAUGUGGUGUUCAACAGGGUGACGUUUCUCGAAAAAGUCUAAUUUAUAUGUCAGCUGAAACUGUCUCUGCUAGAGUAUCUGAAAUUAGAUAUAUUUAGCAUUUUUACUUUCCAUUCAGUGCAUACCGUUCUUUGAAUGUCAAGUUUGCUCAUAUGUAAAUGUAAAUUAACCAAAGAGAGGGGAAAAACAGACAAAUGCAUAUGCGAGAGUACAGCGGAGCUUGAAAAACAACUCACAAGCCUAAUAAAAACAGCUUGAAAUGAGGUAUCAUUCAGUGCAGAUGAAGGCAAGUAUUUCAGUUCAGCUUAUAAAACUGUUUGCACAAUGCUAGAUAAGUGUAAUUGAUGGAUUAUUUUUCUGUGUACUUCACUUUCUAACACCAUGAGUCAGUGUACAAUUAGAUAGGAAAUAUUUCAGAGUAAUUUGAAGUGCUUUUGUGUGUGAUAAAUAUGUAACAAGUUUGUUAAAAUACUGUAUCUUGCUUUCUGUUUUUGUUUUCCUAACUGGUUGAAUAAUGAAAGAAGUGCGUUCAUUGUGCAUAAAUAAAAAGCACCUUAAAAGGUUACAAUUGCAACUGUGAUGGUCAAGUCAAAGUCCUGGUACUUUCAAAAAUACAGAAGUGUAAAUACAA